CCUACGGGUGGCAGCAGUCGAGGAUCUUCGGCAAUGGGCGAAAGCCUGACCGAGCGACGCCGCGUGGAUGAUGAAGGCCUUCGGGUUGUAAAAUCCUGUCGAGGGGGAUCAAGGGCAACUUGAGUGAUCCCUGGAGGAAGCACGGGCUAAGUUCGUGCCAGCAGCCGCGGUAAGACGAACCGUGCAAACGUGAUUCGGAAUCACUGGGCAUAAAGGGCGCGUAGGCGGCUUUCUAAGUCAGGGGUGAAAUCCGGCAGCUCAACUGUCGCAGUGCCUUUGGUACUGGAGAGCUCGAGGGAGGUAGGGGUCUGUGGAACGUCCGGUGGAGCGGUGAAAUGCGUUGAUAUCGGAAGGAACGCCGGUGGCGAAAGCGACGGACUGGAUCUCUUCUGACGCUGAGGCGCGAAAGCCAGGGGAGCAAACGGGAUUAGAUACCCGUGUAGUC
This 445-nucleotide ribosomal RNA is filed under the name uncultured bacterium. RNAcentral describes it as "partial 16S ribosomal RNA". It matches the Rfam family "Bacterial small subunit ribosomal RNA", at positions 338 to 795 of the family's 1533-position model. The record is from RNAcentral.